UACAGAGGGGGCACGCGUUAUUGGGAAUUACUGGGCAUAAAGAGCGCGUAGGCGGCUUGGGAAGUCUGAUGUGAAAGCCCUGGACCCAAUUCCGGAUGUGCAUUGGAUACUGCUAGACUAGAGUACAGGAGGGGAGAACGGAAUUCCUGGUGUAGAGGUGAAAUUCGUAGAAAUCAUGAGGAGCAACAGUGGCGAAGGCGGCUCUCUGGACUGUUACUGACGCUGAGGCGCGAAAGCGUGGGGAGUAAACAGG
Molecule: ribosomal RNA, 253 nt
Filed under: uncultured bacterium
Lineage: Bacteria
Description: partial 16S ribosomal RNA
Rfam family: Bacterial small subunit ribosomal RNA
Source: RNAcentral